AAAGGGCGCGUAGGCGGGAUAGAAAGUCAGAUGUGAAAUCCUGGGGCUCAACCUCAGAACAGCAUUUGAAACUCCUAUUCUGGAGGGUAGACGGAGAAAACGGAAUUCCACAAGUAGCGGUGAAAUGCGUAGAUAUGUGGAAGAACAUCGGUGGCGAAGGCGGUUUUCUAGUUUAUACCUGACGCUAAAGCGCGAAAGCAAGGGGAUCAAACAGGAUUAGAUACCCCAGU
This 230-nucleotide ribosomal RNA is filed under the name uncultured bacterium. RNAcentral's name for it is "partial 16S ribosomal RNA". It matches the Rfam family "Bacterial small subunit ribosomal RNA", at positions 562 to 791 of the family's 1533-position model. The record is from RNAcentral.